GCAUAUCAAUAAGCGGAGGAAAAGAAACCAACAGGGAUUGCCCCAGUAACGGCGAGUGAAGCGGCAACAGCUCAAAUUUGAAAUCUGGUCCCCAGGGCCCGAGUUGUAAUUUGUAGAGGAUGCUUUUGGCGAGGCGCCUUCCGAGUUCCCUGGAACGGGACGCCACAGAGGGUGAGAGCCCCGUCUGGUCGGAUGCCAAGCCUAUGUAAAGCUCCUUCGACGAGUCGAGUAGUUUGGGAAUGCUGCUCAAAAUGGGAGGUAUAUGUCUUCUAAAGCUAAAUAUUGGCCAGAGACCGAUAGCGCACAAGUAGAGUGAUCGAAAGAUGAAAAGCACUUUGAAAAGAGGGUUAAAAAGUACGUGAAAUUGUUGAAAGGGAAGCGCCUAUGACCAGACUUGGGCCCGGUGAAUCAUCCAGCGUUCUCGCUGGUGCACUUUGCCGGGCACAGGCCAGCAUCAGUUUGGCGCGGGGGAUAAAGGCUUCGGGAAUGUGGCUCCCUCGGGAGUGUUAUAGCCCGUUGUGUAAUACCCUGCGCCGGACUGAGGUACGCGCUCCGCAAGGAUGCUGGCGUAAUGGUCAUCAGCGACCCGUCUUGAAACACGGACC
Molecule: ribosomal RNA, 605 nt
Filed under: uncultured fungus
Lineage: Eukaryota; Fungi
Description: LSU rRNA
Rfam family: Eukaryotic large subunit ribosomal RNA
Source: RNAcentral